GAGUUUGAUCAUGCUCAGGAUGAACGCCUGGCGGCGUGCUUAUUACAUGCAAGUCGAGCCGACCAGAUAGGAGCUUGCUCCUUGAAGUUAGCGCCGACGGGUGAGUACCACGUGGGUAACCUACCUAUAAGACUGGGAUAACUUCGGAAACCGGAGCUAAUACCGGAUAACAUUUAGAACCGCAUGGUUCUAAAGUGAAAGAUGGUUUUGCUAUCACUUAUAGAUGGACCCGCGCCGUAUUAGCUAGUUGGUAAGGUAACGGCUUACCAAGGCGACGAUACGUAGCCGACCUGAGAGGGUGAUCGGCCACACUGGAACUGAGACACGGUCCAGACUCCUACGGGAGGCAGCAGUAGGGAAUCUUCCGCAAUGGGCGAAAGCCUGACGGAGCAACGCCGCGUGAGUGAUGAAGGGUUUCGGCUCGUAAAACUCUGUUAUUAGGGAAGAACAAAUGUGUAAGUAACUGUGCACAUCUUGACGGUACCUAAUCAGAAAGCCACGGCUAACUACGUGCCAGCAGCCGCGGUAAUACGUAGGUGGCAAGCGUUAUCCGGAAUUAUUGGGCGUAAAGCGCGCGUAGGCGGUUUCUUAAGUCUGAUGUGAAAGCCCACGGCUCAACCGUGGAGGGUCAUUGGAAACUGGGAAACUUGAGUGCAGAAGAGGAAAGUGGAAUUCCAUGUGUAGCGGUGAAAUGCGCAGAGAUAUGGAGGAACACCAGUGGCGAAGGCGACUUUCUGGUCUGUAACUGACGCUGAUGCGAAAGCGUGGGGAUCAAACAGGAUUAGAUACCCUGGUAGUCCACGCCGUAAACGAUGAGUGCUAAGUGUUAGGGGGUUUCCGCCCCUUAGUGCUGCAGCUAACGCAUUAAGCACUCCGCCUGGGGAGUACGACCGCAAGGUUGAAACUCAAAGGAAUUGACGGGGACCCGCACAAGCGGUGGAGCAUGUGGUUUAAUUCGAAGCAACGCGAAGAACCUUACCAAAUCUUGACAUCCUUUGAAAACUCUAGAGAUAGAGCUUUCCCCUUCGGGGGACAAAGUGACAGGUGGUGCAUGGUUGUCGUCAGCUCGUGUCGUGAG
Molecule: ribosomal RNA, 1078 nt
Filed under: Staphylococcus saprophyticus
Lineage: Bacteria; Bacillati; Bacillota; Bacilli; Caryophanales; Staphylococcaceae
Description: bacterial SSU rRNA
Rfam family: Bacterial small subunit ribosomal RNA
Source: RNAcentral